Argiope bruennichi is the source of this 1398-nucleotide long non-coding RNA. RefSeq lists it as uncharacterized. The record is from RefSeq and is a predicted model, not a curated record. The transcript has 3 exons. NCBI's taxonomy places the organism in Eukaryota, Metazoa, Arthropoda, Arachnida, Araneae, Araneidae.
AAAAACACAUUUUUGGAAAAUGUCUGUCUGUCUGCCUGUGACAAAGAUAACUCAAAAACGCUUUGAUCUAGACGGAUGAAAUUUGGUGUAUGGUCUUUAUAUCAAAUUUUCAGAUUUCUAUCAGCCUUGCCAGCAUAAGAUAUUUCAACGAUGUUGAUGGAUAUUUUGAAAGCCGGAUAAUACUAAGAAGAUAUCUUAACAAUGUUAUUAGACAUUUUAUGCUAAUAGGGUAAGCAUAUAAUUUUAAUUUCUGCAGGAUAUGUUCAUCAAAAAUAUACUCUCAUUUACGAAAGAAUAAUUCAAAUAGCGUGGAAUGGUAGAAUCCCUUUUAACACAAAAUGUAACAAUGAAUAACAAUAUUCUUUAUGAUAUCUUCACGAUAUUUUAUGGCAUUCAUCAUUUUAAACUAUAUCUUAGAGAUAUCGUACAGUACCCUUAUGCUAUAGUGAUGAGCAAACCCAAAUUGUUAAAUAGGCAAGAUAGGUAACUGCUUAGGGGACCUAUAACUUUGGAGGGCCCUAGCCCGUGACCUCCGAGAGACAAAGCCUGCUGGCUCCGCCAUUCGCUCCUGCAUGAGUCAUCACUGCUAGUCGAUCGAGAAGCUGGUUAACAAUCGUCACUCUGCACGUUUUCUGCUAGAAGUGAACGACGACUGGCAUUUAUAAGCUUUCAUUUUUUAUCUAUUUUUAUAUUUAUUUCUUGAUCCAAGAUGGUGUUAUAUUGAAAUGGAUGAGAUGCAAAAGCAAGUUUAGGAUACAGAUUAUUGAAGGUGCCAUAUAAAUGCUCAGUUCUAGCUUGUCGUGGGAAUUAUGAUGAAGAAAAUAAAGUCGCUGUUUUUGGAUAUCCCACUGAUGAGGCUUUAAAAGAGAAAUGGCUGCAUGCAAUUCCAAGAAAAAUUUUUACCAUUACAAAGAAUUCUAAGGUAUGUGAAAGACAUUUUAAAGAUGGUGAAGUGCUUUACAGAACUACCUUCUACAAUGAAAGUACUGGGGAAACAUUAGCUGCUCCUGUGAAGAAGGACAGACUGAAAGAAAAUGUUGUUCCAAGUAUUUUUCCUGGCUGCCCAACAUAUUUGUUAUCAUCAACAUCCUCAAUUCCGGAGAGUCCUUCAAAAAAGAGGCAACGAUUAGAACAUGUCCAAUUUGAAGGUUCCAUAAUUGAAAGCUUAAAUUCCAAACAGAAUUAUGACAGCAUGACUGCAUUUAUUAAUUUUAAUGAAUUAAAAAAUGUAUUAAAAACCAUACCUUUUCUUCCUUUUGGACUAUUGUUGAAAAGAAUGAAAAUAUGUUAUUCAUCCACUUAUCUAUUAAGGAUGGCAUUCCUACCAUAACAAAUGCUGUAAGUAUUAACAAUGAUCUAUUUUUAAAUGCAUCAUUUAUGGGAGAAAGGAUUUUGAAA